RNAcentral lists this ribosomal RNA (443 nucleotides) under uncultured bacterium. RNAcentral describes it as "partial 16S ribosomal RNA". It matches the Rfam family "Bacterial small subunit ribosomal RNA", at positions 338 to 795 of the family's 1533-position model. The record is from RNAcentral.
CCUACGGGUGGCAGCAGUGGGGAAUAUUGGGCAAUGGGCGCAAGCCUGACCCAGCAACGCCGCGUGAAGGAAGAAGGCUUUCUGGUUGUAAACUUCUUUUGUCAGGGACGUAGCAAGUGACGGUACCUGACGUAUAAGCCACGGCUAACUACGUGCCAGCAGCCGCGGUAAUACGGAGGUGGCAAGCGUUAUCCGGAUUUACUGGGUGUAAAGGGCGUGUAGGCGGGGAAGCAAGUCAGAUGUGAAAACCACGGGCUCAACCUGUGGCCUGCAGUUGAAACUGUUUUUCUUGAGUGCGGGAGAGGCAAUCGGAAUUCGGGGUGUAGCGGUGAAAUGCGUAGAUAUACGGAGGAACACCAGUGGCGAAGGCGGAUUGCUGGACAGUAACUGACGCUGAGGCGCGAAAGCGUGGGGAGCAAACAGGAUUAGAUACCCCGGUAGUC